CUUUGAGUGAGGGAAAUGAACCCUAAGGUCACAUUUUCUUUUUCUUUCUUUUUUUUUUUUUUAGGUCACAUUUUCUGAUGAGAAGUUACUCUCCAAUGGUUUCCACAUCUCCUCCUGAGACUUCAGAUACCCCCAACCCUACCCCACACUCCACUCGAAGCGCUCCCAGACAGUUUGGUUUCAUCUCGGGUUUGAAGUAGAGGUGAGAGGGCAUCAUCAGGUGUGGUCAGAAGAAUGCCACUAGAGCCACUGGGUCCUCAGCCGGGCAGGCCACAGCUGAGCCCAUGGGAGCAUGCAGCUCCUUCCUUCCUCCCAGAGACCCUUCAGCAGCCUAAGCCUUUGUGGCCUGUCAAGUUCCUAGAGGUCGUUCUCCAGGCUUAAAUUAAUAAACUAAUUCAAGGUAAGGUAUUGAUAACA
This 417-nucleotide long non-coding RNA is filed under the name Vulpes vulpes (red fox). RNAcentral describes it as "lncRNA (ENSVVUG00000026007.1)". Lineage: Eukaryota; Metazoa; Chordata; Mammalia; Carnivora; Canidae. The record is from RNAcentral.